AACGAACGCUGGCGGCAUGCCUAACACAUGCAAGUCGAACGAGACCUUCGGGUCUAGUGGCGCACGGGUGCGUAACGCGUGGGAACCUGCCCUUAGGUUCGGAAUAACUCCCCGUAAGGGGUGCUAAUACCGGUUAAUGUAUUCGGACCAAAGAUUUCUCGCCUUUGGAUGGGCCCGCGUUGGAUUAGCUAGUUGGUAGGGUACAAGCCUACCAAGGCGACGAUCCAUAGCUGGUCGGAGAGGAUGAUCAGCCACAAUGGGACUGAGACACGGCCCAGACUCCUACGGGAGGCAGCAGUGGGGAAUAUUGGACAAUGGGCGAAAGCCUGAUCCAGCAAUGCCGCGUGAGUGAUGAAGGCCUUAGGGUUGUAAAGCUCUUUUACCCGGGAUGAUAAUGACAGUACCGGGAGAAUAAGCUCCGGCUAACUCCGUG
RNAcentral lists this ribosomal RNA (433 nucleotides) under uncultured bacterium. Its description in RNAcentral is "partial 16S ribosomal RNA". It matches the Rfam family "Bacterial small subunit ribosomal RNA", at positions 29 to 507 of the family's 1533-position model. The record is from RNAcentral.